GCCGGUAUAGUUUAGUGGUAGAACAGAUCCUUGGUAAGGAUCAGAGGCAAGUUCAAUUCUCGCUUCCGGCACCA
Molecule: transfer RNA, 74 nt
Filed under: Candidatus Onthousia excrementipullorum
Lineage: Bacteria; Bacillati; Bacillota; Bacilli
Description: tRNA-Thr
Rfam family: tRNA
About the family: Transfer RNA (tRNA) molecules are approximately 80 nucleotides in length.
Source: RNAcentral